Molecule: transfer RNA, 72 nt
Filed under: Ipomoea nil (Japanese morning glory)
Lineage: Eukaryota; Viridiplantae; Streptophyta; Magnoliopsida; Solanales; Convolvulaceae
Rfam family: tRNA
About the family: Transfer RNA (tRNA) molecules are approximately 80 nucleotides in length. Their secondary structure includes four short double-helical elements and three loops (D, anti-codon, and T loops).
Source: Rfam by way of RNAcentral
GCGUUCUUAGGUCAGUGGUAAAGCGCGUGGCUUUUAACCACGUGGUCGUGGGUUCGAUUCCCACAGACGGUG